RNAcentral lists this ribosomal RNA (425 nucleotides) under uncultured bacterium. RNAcentral's name for it is "partial 16S ribosomal RNA". It matches the Rfam family "Bacterial small subunit ribosomal RNA", at positions 354 to 796 of the family's 1533-position model. The record is from RNAcentral.
GUGGGGAAUCUUGCGCAAUGGGCGAAAGCCUGACGCAGCCAUGCCGCGUGAAUGAUGAAGGUCUUAGGAUUGUAGAAUUCUUUCACCGGGGACGAUAAUGACGGUACCCGGAGAAGAAGCCCCGGCUAACUUCGUGCCAGCAGCCGCGGUAAUACGAAGGGGGCUAGCGUUGCUCGGAAUUACUGGGCGUAAAGGGCGCGUAGGCGGAUCGUUAAGUCAGGGGUGAAAUCCCAGAGCUCAACUCUGGAACUGCCCUUGAUACUGGCGAUCUUGAGUGUGAGAGAGGUAUGUGGAACUCCGAGUGUAGAGGUGAAAUUCGUAGAUAUUCGGAAGAACACCAGUGGCGAAGGCGACAUACUGGCUCAUUACUGACGCUGAGGCGCGAAAGCGUGGGGAGCAAACAGGAUUAGAAACCCGUGUAGUCC